GCGGCUGGAUCCCCUCCUUUACAGAGAAAUUCCCGACUCGCUAUUUAACUUCAAGGAGUCCGCUCUUUGAGCAACUCGCGCGGAGCCGCUGGGCCUAUAGCUCAGUUUCGGUUAGAGCGCACGCCUGAUAAGCGUGAGGUCGAUGGUUCAAGUCCAUCUAGGCCCACCAUCCACCCUUAAACGCGUGGGGGUGUAGCUCAGCUGGGAGAGCACCUGCUUUGCACGCAGGGGGUCAUCGGUUCGAUUCCGUUCACCUCCACCACUUGAGUGGAGGUACGGCGCGUGAGUUCUUUGACAGUUCAAUAGGGAAGGUUUUUCGGAUACACGGAAGAAAAAGAUAGUAAGGGCAAUCGGUGGAUGCCUAGGCGCCAGGAGGCGACGAAGGACGUGGAAGGCUGCGAUAUGCCUCGGUGAGCCGCCAAACAGGCUUUGACCCGAGGAUUU
This 444-nucleotide unclassified non-coding RNA is filed under the name uncultured Pseudomonadota bacterium. RNAcentral describes it as "uncultured proteobacterium partial contains 16S ribosomal RNA, 16S-23S ribosomal RNA intergenic spacer, and 23S ribosomal RNA". The stretch from base 331 to 444 matches the Rfam family "Bacterial large subunit ribosomal RNA", at positions 1 to 113 of the family's 2925-position model. Lineage: Bacteria; Pseudomonadati; Pseudomonadota. The record is from RNAcentral.